CUGAGGUGUGAAGCAUUCUGUGCCCCAAAAGGGUUCGGAACUUCAUGGGGAAGCACAUCUCACGUCAAACAUUUAGCUCAGCAGUAGAGCAUCUCUUUGGAAUAGAGACGGCGGCGGUGCGAUUCCGCCAAUGUAACCAAGCAAAAGUUCUUCCCCUGCCGAGAAGCAAAAGCGCCUUAAUCCCCGACUGUGGAGCAGAAUCGGGGCCGUCACGAGCCCGCAAGGCGACGGCGGUUUGUAGGCAAGUAGUGCAGCCAUGGGACGGCCAUCCUAACGGCGAAGCGAAAGUCGCAGAGUAGCUUUCGGUAUGACGAGUGGUUCACGUACGAACCAGGCGUUGCACGUACUCGGGGGACCGAGUGGACAAGUCGGGAAUCCAUAAUCCGACGAAAGCGUGUGGUCGUGGCGGUUUAGUCUCUAGCCC
RNAcentral lists this small RNA (424 nucleotides) under Mycobacterium phage Rey. RNAcentral's name for it is "Giant, ornate, lake- and Lactobacillales-derived (GOLLD) RNA". It matches the Rfam family "Giant, ornate, lake- and Lactobacillales-derived (GOLLD) RNA". Lineage: Duplodnaviria; Heunggongvirae; Uroviricota; Caudoviricetes; Vilmaviridae. The record is from Rfam by way of RNAcentral.